Non-coding RNA from Parelaphostrongylus tenuis, 72 nucleotides. The record is from the annotation of a GenBank genome assembly. Lineage: Eukaryota; Metazoa; Nematoda; Chromadorea; Rhabditida; Metastrongylidae.
GCUUCAGUAGUGUAGUGGUAGCAUGCGUCCGCGGCAUAGGUUAAGCGAGGGUUCAACUCCCGCCUGGGGACG